Molecule: ribosomal RNA, 492 nt
Filed under: uncultured bacterium
Lineage: Bacteria
Description: partial 16S ribosomal RNA
Rfam family: Bacterial small subunit ribosomal RNA
Source: RNAcentral
CGAACGCUGGCGGCGUGCUUAACACAUGCAAGUCGAACGGUGAAGCGCCUUCCUUUUUGGUGAGUGUGGAUGAGUGGCGAACGGGUGAGUAACACGUGAGUAACCUGCCCCCUUCUUCUGGAUAACCGCAUGAAAGUGUGGCUAAUACGGGAUAUUCUGGGUCUGUCGCAUGAUGGGUCUGGGAAAGAUAUUGUUUCGGUGGGGGAUGGGCUCGCGGCCUAUCAGCUUGUUGGUGGGGUGAUGGCCUACCAAGGCGGUGACGGGUAGCCGGCCUGAGAGGGUGGACGGUCACACUGGGACUGAGACACGGCCCAGACUCCUACGGGAGGCAGCAGUGGGGAAUAAUGCACAAUGGGCGCAAGCCUGAUGCAGCGACGCCGCGUGAGGGAUGGAGGCCUUCGGGUUGUGAACCUCUUUCGCCAGUGAAGCAGGCCUGCCUCGUUUGUGGGUGGGUUGACGGUAGCUGGAUAAGAAGCGCCGGCUAACUACGUG